This 129-nucleotide ribosomal RNA is filed under the name Candidatus Babelota bacterium. RNAcentral's name for it is "partial 16S ribosomal RNA". The record is from RNAcentral.
UGCCUAANNGUGAGGAAUACCCUCGAGAAAUCGAGGUUAAUACUGCAUACGUCCCUUCGGGGAGAAAGGUGGCCUCUUUGCUGCCGCUGAAGGAUGAGCUUGCGUGCUAUUAGCUAGUUGGUGAGGUAA